GGAGAGGUGUCCGAGUGGCUUAAGGAGCACGCUUGGAAAGCGUGUGUACCUCUAAAGGGUACCGAGGGUUCGAAUCCCUCUCUCUCCG
Molecule: transfer RNA, 88 nt
Rfam family: tRNA
About the family: Transfer RNA (tRNA) molecules are approximately 80 nucleotides in length. Their secondary structure includes four short double-helical elements and three loops (D, anti-codon, and T loops). Further hydrogen bonds mediate the characteristic L-shaped molecular structure. tRNAs have two regions of fundamental functional importance: the anti-codon, which is responsible for specific mRNA codon recognition, and the 3' end, to which the tRNAs corresponding amino acid is attached (by aminoacyl-tRNA synthetases). tRNAs cope with the degeneracy of the genetic code in two manners: having more than one tRNA (with a specific anti-codon) for a particular amino acid; and 'wobble' base-pairing, i.e. permitting non-standard base-pairing at the 3rd anti-codon position.
Source: Rfam